CUCAUGCUUAACAUUUGGUUGUGUGAACCAAAAAACCUUUAGCUCGUAAUUAUUUUCCGUACAUAGGUGAUGUCGAGACACACCAGGUCCUGUGUCAUGACACACCAGGUCCUAUGUCGCGACAUCGAUGGCAGUAUGCUCAACUUCAGGGUAACUAAGAAGAAGAUGAAGAGAGAAAAACUUAACAAAAUUGAGAAAAAUUCCCCCAAGUUAUUCAUUUCUCUACUAUUUAUAGCCCUUCACACACGGUCUUCAACCUUAUAAAAACUAUCCAUUAGUAAUCAUUUUGUCUCCCACUAACGAACUAGUUGGUUCUCAUCCAACCGAAUCUGAAUUGAAACUAAAC
Molecule: long non-coding RNA, 346 nt
Filed under: Gossypium barbadense (sea-island cotton)
Lineage: Eukaryota; Viridiplantae; Streptophyta; Magnoliopsida; Malvales; Malvaceae
Description: long non-coding RNA (GBAR_LNC015680)
Source: RNAcentral